This 490-nucleotide ribosomal RNA is filed under the name uncultured bacterium. Its description in RNAcentral is "partial 16S ribosomal RNA". It matches the Rfam family "Bacterial small subunit ribosomal RNA", at positions 28 to 507 of the family's 1533-position model. The record is from RNAcentral.
GAUGAACGCUAGCUACAGGCUUAACACAUGCAAGUCGAGGGGCAGCAUGGUCUUAGCUUGCUAAGGCCGAUGGCGACCGGCGCACGGGUGAGUAACACGUAUCCAACCUGCCGUCUACUCUUGGACAGCCUUCUGAAAGGAAGAUUAAUACAAGAUGGCAUCAUGAGUCCGCAUGUUCACAUGAUUAAAGGUAUUCCGGUAGACGAUGGGGAUGCGUUCCAUUAGAUAGUAGGCGGGGUAACGGCCCACCUAGUCUUCGAUGGAUAGGGGUUCUGAGAGGAAGGUCCCCCACAUUGGAACUGGGACACGGUCCAAACUCCUACGGGAGGCAGCAGUGAGGAAUAUUGGUCAAUGGGCGCAGGCCUGAACCAGCCAAGUAGCGUGAAGGAUGACUGCCCUAGGGGUUGUAAACUUCUUUUAUAAAGGAAUAAAGUCGGGUAUGUAUACCCGUUUGCAUGUACUUUAUGAAUAAGGACCGGCUAACUCCGUG